UGGGGAAUUUUCCGCAAUGGGCGAAAGCCUGACGGAGUGACGCCGCGUGUGGGACGAAGGCCUUCGGGUCGUAAACCACUGUCAGUGGGAAAGAUGGGUGUCGGCGCGAUAACCGCCGGCAUCUGACGGUACCUGCAGAGGAAGCCCCGGCUAACUCUGUGCCAGCAGCCGCGGUAAGACAGAGGGGGCAAGCGUUGCUCGGAAUUACUGGGCGUAAAGGGCGCGUAGGCGGGAUGGCAAGUCGGUCGUGAAAUCCCUCGGCUCAACUGAGGAGCGUCGAUCGAUACUGCCGUUCUUGAGGGUUGCAGAGGAGACUGGAAUUCCCGGUGUAGCGGUGAAAUGUGUAGAGAUCGGGAGGAACACCGGUGGCGAAGGCGGGUCUCUGGGCAACUCCUGACGCUGAGGCGCGAAAGCGUGGGGAGCAAACGGGAUUAGAUACCCCCGUAGUCC
Molecule: ribosomal RNA, 450 nt
Filed under: uncultured bacterium
Lineage: Bacteria
Description: bacterial SSU rRNA
Rfam family: Bacterial small subunit ribosomal RNA
Source: RNAcentral